GGUGUACAGGUGGUGCAUGGUUGUCGUCAGCUCGUGUCGUGAGAUGUUGGGUUAAGUCCCGCAACGAGCGCAACCCCUUGUCUUAUGUUGCCCAGCACGUGAUGGUGGGGACUCAUGAGAGACUGCCGGGGUUAACUCGGAGGAAGGUGGGGAUGACGUCAAAUCAUCAUGCCCCUUAUGUCCAGGGCUUCACACAUGCUACAAUGGUCGGUACAACGCGUGUGCGACACUGUGAGGUGAAGCUAAUCGCUCUAAAGCCGGUCGUAGUUCGGAUUGGGGUCUGCAACUCGACCCCAUGAAGUCGGAGUCGCUAGUAAUCGCAGAUCAGCAACGCUGCGGUGAAUACGUUCCCGGGCCUU
RNAcentral lists this ribosomal RNA (359 nucleotides) under uncultured Corynebacterium sp. RNAcentral's name for it is "bacterial SSU rRNA". It matches the Rfam family "Bacterial small subunit ribosomal RNA", at positions 1029 to 1382 of the family's 1533-position model. Lineage: Bacteria; Bacillati; Actinomycetota; Actinomycetes; Mycobacteriales; Corynebacteriaceae. The record is from RNAcentral.